AGUGAACGCUGGCGGUAGGCCUAACACAUGCCAGUCGAACGGCAGCACAGUAAGAGCUUGCUCUUACGGGUGGCGAGUGGCGGACGGGUGAGGAAUACAUCGGAAUCUACUUUUACGUGGGGGAUAACGUAGGGAAACUUACGCUAAUACCGCAUACGACCUACGGGUGAAAGCAGGGGAUCUUCGGACCUUGCGCGAUUGAAUGAGCCGAUGUCGGAUUAGCUAGUUGGCGGGGUAAAGGCCCACCAAGGCGACGAUCCGUAGCUGGUCUGAGAGGAUGAUCAGCCACACUGGAACUGAGACACGGUCCAGACUCCUACGGGAGGCAGCAGUGGGGAAUAUUGGACAAUGGGCGCAAGCCUGAUCCAGCCAUACCGCGUGGGUGAAGAAGGCCUUCGGGUUGUAAAGCCCUUUUGUUGGGAAAGAAAAGCAGCAGGUUAAUACCCCGCUGUUCUGACGGUACCCAAAGAAUAAGCACCGGCUAACUUCGUG
RNAcentral lists this ribosomal RNA (492 nucleotides) under uncultured bacterium. Its description in RNAcentral is "partial 16S ribosomal RNA". It matches the Rfam family "Bacterial small subunit ribosomal RNA", at positions 29 to 507 of the family's 1533-position model. The record is from RNAcentral.